AGUGGCGAACUGGUGAGUAACACGUGGGUAACCCGCCCUUGAAGUAGGGGAUAACACUUGGAAACAGGUGCUAAUACCGUAUAACAACCAAAACCACCUGGUUUUGGUUUAAAAGACGGCUUCGGCUGUCACUUUAGGAUGGACCCGCGGCGUAUUAGCUUGUUGGUAAGGUAACGGCCUACCAAGGCGAUGAUACGUAGCCGACCUGAGAGGGUAAUCGGCCACAUUGGGACUGAGACACGGCCCAAACUCCUACGGGAGGCAGCAGUAGGGAAUCUUCCACAAUGGACGAAAGUCUGAUGGAGCAACGCCGCGUGAGUGAUGAAGGGUUUCGGCUCGUAAAACUCUGUUGUUGGAGAAGAACAGGUGUCAGAGUAACUGUUGACAUCUUGACGGUAUCCAACCAGAAAGCCACGGCUAACUACGUGCCAGCAGCCGCGGUAAUACGUAGGUGGCAAGCGUUGUCCGGAUUUAUUGGGCGUAAAGCGAGCGCAGGCGGUUUUUUAGGUCUGAUGUGAAAGCCUUCGGCUUAACCGGAGAAGUGCAUCGGAAACCGGGAGACUUGAGUGCAGAAGAGGACAGUGGAACUCCAUGUGUAGCGGUGAAAUGCGUAGAUAUAUGGA
This 623-nucleotide ribosomal RNA is filed under the name uncultured bacterium. Its description in RNAcentral is "bacterial SSU rRNA". It matches the Rfam family "Bacterial small subunit ribosomal RNA", at positions 94 to 702 of the family's 1533-position model. The record is from RNAcentral.